Molecule: transfer RNA, 61 nt
Filed under: Loxodonta africana (African savanna elephant)
Lineage: Eukaryota; Metazoa; Chordata; Mammalia; Proboscidea; Elephantidae
Rfam family: tRNA
About the family: Transfer RNA (tRNA) molecules are approximately 80 nucleotides in length. Their secondary structure includes four short double-helical elements and three loops (D, anti-codon, and T loops).
Source: Rfam by way of RNAcentral
UUAGCUCAGUUGGUUAGAGCAUGGUGCUAAUAAUGCCAAGGUUGUGGGUUUGAUCCCCAUA